AUUGAACGCUGGCGGCAGGCUUAACACAUGCAAGUCGAGCGGGGUGAUGGUGCUUGCACUAUCACUUAGCGGCGGACGGGCGAGUAAUGCUCAGGAAUCUGCCUAUUAGUGGGGGACAACAUCUCGAAAGGGAUGCUAAUACCGCAUACGUCCUACGGGAGAAAGCAGGGGAUCACUUGUGACCUUGCGCUAAUAGAUGGGCCUAAGUCGGAUUAGCUAGUUGGUGGGGUAAAGGCCUACCAAGGCGACGAUCUGUAGCGGGUCUGAGAGGAUGAUCCGCCACACUGGGACUGAGACACGGCCCAGACUCCUACGGGAGGCAGCAGUGGGGAAUAUUGGACAAUGGGGGGAACCCUGAUCCAGCCAUGCCGCGUGUGUGAAGAAGGCCUUAUGGUUGUAAAGCACUUUAAGCGAGGAGGAGGCUCUUUUGGUUAAUACCCAAGAUGAGUGGACGUUACUCGCAGAAUAAGCACCGGCUAACUCUGUGCCAGCAGCCGCGGUAA
This 503-nucleotide ribosomal RNA is filed under the name uncultured bacterium. RNAcentral's name for it is "partial 16S ribosomal RNA". It matches the Rfam family "Bacterial small subunit ribosomal RNA", at positions 30 to 523 of the family's 1533-position model. The record is from RNAcentral.